AGGCGAAGCCGCGAGGCAGAGNGAACCCCAAAAAGACCGUCCCAGUUCGGAUCGCAGGCUGCAACCCGCCUGCGUGAAGUCGGAAUCGCUAGUAAUCGCGGAUCAGCAUGCCGCGGUGAAUACGUUCCCGGGCCUUGUACACACCGCCCGUCACACCAUGAGAGUCGGGAACACCCGAAGUCCGUAGCCUAACAGCAAUGAGGGCGCGGCCGAAGGUGGGUUCGAUAAUUGGGGUGAAGUCGUAACAAGGUAUC
Molecule: ribosomal RNA, 254 nt
Filed under: uncultured bacterium
Lineage: Bacteria
Description: partial 16S ribosomal RNA
Rfam family: Bacterial small subunit ribosomal RNA
Source: RNAcentral